This 468-nucleotide ribosomal RNA is filed under the name uncultured bacterium. RNAcentral's name for it is "partial 16S ribosomal RNA". It matches the Rfam family "Bacterial small subunit ribosomal RNA", at positions 28 to 507 of the family's 1533-position model. The record is from RNAcentral.
GACGAACGCUGGCGGCGUGCUUAACACAUGCAAGUCGAACGGAAAGGCCAGGCUUUUGUGUGGUGCUCGAGUGGCGAACGGGUGAGUAACACGCGAGUAACCUGUCCUUGACUUUGGGAUAACAUCAGGAAACUGGGGCUAAUAUCGGAUAGGAGCUCCUGCUGCACGGUGGGGGUUGGAAAGUUACGGCGGUUGGGGAUGGUCUCGCUGCUUAUGCGCUUGUUGGGCAGGUAGUUGCUUUCCAAGGGUUUGACGGAUAGCCCGCCUUAGAGGGUGACCAGGCACCUUAGGACUACGAGACGCCCCAGUCUGCUACGGUCGGCAGCAGUGGGGAAUAUUACGCAAUGGGGGGACGCGUGAUGUAGCAGCGCCGCGUGCGGGAUGACCUGCUUCGGGUUGUAAACCGCUUUCGCCUGUGACGAGGAGUGCGUGACGGUAAUGGGUAAGAAAGCACCGGCUAACUACGUG